UAAAGCUACAAAGAGCUAAUGGGGGAUGCCUUGGUACUGACAGCCGACGAAGGACGUGUAAAGCUACGAAAAUCCACGGGGAACUGCUAAAAAGUCUUGAUCCGUGGGAAUCCGAAUGGGGAAACCCUCCAAAGUUAAAGCUUUGGAACCCGCAAAUGAAUCAAUAGUUUGCGCGGAGGAAAGCCUGUGAACUGAAACAUCUUAGUAACAGGACGAAGAGAAAAUAACCAAAUGAUUCCGAGAGUAGCGGCGAGCGAAAUUGGAAGAGCCUAAACCUUAGAUACGUGAUAGUCUGUAAGCGUUGUAUCUAGGGGGUUGUGGGACUUACAAGACAAGUUACAGCUUGUUAAAUCAGUUACAAAGUCAUUUAGUAGUUGAAUACAACUGGGAAGUUGAGCCAUAGAGUGUGAUAGCCACUUAAGCGAAAUUAAAUGACCUGAUAGUAAGCACCCGAGUAAGGCGGGGCACGUGAAACCCUGUCUGAAUCCACCGGGACCAUCCGGUAAGGCUAAAUACUAGUCAGUGACCGAUAGUGAACGAGUACAGUGAUGGAAAGGCGAAAAGAACAGUGAGAAGCUGAGUGAAAUAGACCCUAAAACCGUUAGCUUACAAUCAGUUAGAGCCCUAUUGAUAGGGUGAUAGCGUGCCUGUUGAAGAAUGAGCCGGCGAGUUAAUUUAUGUUGCGAGGUUAAGGAGUUAAUAUCUGGAGCCACAGCGAAAGCGAGUUUGAAAAGAGCGUUAAGUAACAUGAAUUAGACCCGAACCUUGGCGAUCUAACCUUGACCAGGAUGAAGCGUAGGUAACACUACGUGGAGGUCCGAACCAACCGAUGUUGAAAAAUCGGUGGAUGAGUUGAGGUUAGGGGUGAAAUGCCAAUCGAGCCAAGAGCUAGCUGGUUCUCCCCGAAAUGCGUUUAGGCACAGCGUUGGACUUAUCUUACAGGAGGUAGAGCACUAGUCUGGUGCGGGCGGCGAAAUGCCGUACCAAAUCAUGUUAAACUCCGAAUACCUGUAAAGUAACUAUCCAGCAGUGAGGCAGCGAGUGCUAAGAUCCGUUGCCAAGAGGGAAACAGCCCAGAACGCCAGUUAAGGUCCCAAAUAUAUGCUAAGUGGUUAAGGAGGUAGAGUUGCUUAGACAACCAGGAGGUUGGCUUAGAAGCAGCCAUUCCUUGAAAGAGUGCGUAAUAGCUCACUGGUCAAGCGACUCCGCGCCGAAAAUACACCGGGACUAAAGCAUAUAACCGAAACUGCGUCAUUGAGUUUACUCAAUGGGUAGGGGAGCGUUCUGUUGUAGGACGAAGUAAGAUCGAAAGGACUUAUGGACGAAGCAGAAGUGAGAAUGUCGGCAUAAGUAGCGAAAACAUUGGUGAGAAUCCAAUGCACCGAAAACCUAAGGUUUCCCACGGCAGGCUCGUCCGCGUGGGGUUAGUCGGAACCUAAGCUCAGGCCGAAAGGCGUAGGCGAUGGACAUCAGGUUGAUAUUCCUGAACUAUCGAUUAAUCGUUAUCAGAGGCGGAGGGACGCAGGAGGAUAGACAAGCAGCCGACUGGAAGUGGCUGUAAAGAUAUGUAGGUAGAGUUAGUAGGAAAAUCCGCUAAUUCGUUAAAAACUGAGGUAUCGAGUAGGACUCUCUACGGAGGGGAAGUUGUUGAAUCCACACUGCCAAGAAAAGCUUCGCACUUGAGAUUAAUAGGUAUCCGUACCGGAAACCGCCACAGGUAGGUUGGUAGAGAAUACUAAGGUGCGCGAGAUAACUCUCGCUAAGGAACUCGGCAAAAUCACCUCGUAACUUCGGGAGAAGAGGUACCCUGGUAGAGUGAAGCGGUUCACCCGUGGAGCUUGAUAGGGUCGCAGUGAAUAGGCCCAUGCGACUGUUUACCAAAAACACAGGUCUCUGCAAAGUCGAUCAAGACGAUGUAUAGGGGCUGACGCCUGCCCGGUGUCGGAAGGUUACGUGGACGUGUUAGACUUAGGUCGAAGCACCGAAACUAAGCCCCGAUGAACGGCGGCCGUAACUAUAACGGUCCUAAGGUAGCGAAAUUCCUUGUCAGGUA
RNAcentral lists this ribosomal RNA (2053 nucleotides) under metagenome. RNAcentral describes it as "bacterial LSU rRNA". It matches the Rfam family "Bacterial large subunit ribosomal RNA", at positions 1 to 1978 of the family's 2925-position model. The record is from RNAcentral.